GGUAAUAAUCCUGUAGUCAAAAUAAUAAUUCUUUAGGUAUGAUCCAGAGUACCACGGGACACGUGAAACCCUGUGGGAAGCAGGAGGGACCACCCUCCAAGGCUAAAUACUACCUAGUGACCGAUAGCGUAUAGUACCGUGAGGGAAAGGUGAAAAGAACCCCGGGAGGGGAGUGAAAUAGAACCUGAAACCCUGCACUUACAAGCUGUGGAAGCACAUUUCUUGUGUGACCGCGUACUUUUUGUAGAACGGGCCAACGAGUUACGUUAAGUAGCAAGGUUAAGCACUUAAGGUGUGGAGCCGUAGCGAAAGCGAGUUUUAACUGAGCGUUCAGUUACUUGACGUAGACCCGAAACCGGGCGACCUACCCAUGAGCAGGAUGAAGCGAAAGUAAAAUUUCGUGGAGGUCCGAACCCACGAGCGUUGAAAAGCUCGGGGAUGACUUGUGGGUAGCGGUGAAAUUCCAAUCGAGCCCGGAGAUAGCUGGUUCUCCCCGAAAUAGCUUUAGGGCUAGCCUCAAGGUGAGAGAUACGGAGGUAGAGCACUGAAUGUCCUAGGGGGUAUUGCACCUACCGAAGACUAUCAAACUCCGAAUGCCGUCAUCUUAUACUUGGGAGUCAGACUGUGGGUGAUAAGAUUCAUAGUCGAAAGGGCAACAGCCCAGAUCGUCAGCUAAGGUCCCUAAAUGUAAGUUAAGUGGUAAAGGAUGUGGGAUUGCACAGACAACCAGGAUGUUGGCUUAGAAGCAGCCACUCAUUCAAAGAGUGCGUAAUAGCUCACUGGUCGAGUGAUCCUGCGCCGAAGAUUUCCGGGGCUAAAACUUACUACCGAAGCUACGGCAUCAGUAAUGAUGGGUAGGGGAGCUUCCCAUACGGGUUGAAGCAUGACCGUAAGGACAUGUGGACAGUAUGGGAGUGAGAAUGUUGGCAUGAGUAGCGAGAUGUGGGUGAGAAUCCCACAGGCCGUAAACCCAAGGUUUCCAGGGGAAGGUUCGUCCGCCCUGGGUUAGUCGGGACCUAAGCUGAGGCCGAAAGGCGUAGGUGAUGGACAACAGGUUGAUAUUCCUGUACUACCGAUAACCGUUUGAGAGAUGGGAUGACACAGUAGGAUAAGCUAAGCACACUGUUGGUUAUGUGUGCCCAAGCAUUGAGGCAGUCAAAGUAGGCAAAUCCGCUUUGAUAAUGCUGGGAUGUGAUGGGGAGCGAAAUUUAGUAGCGAAGUAGCUGAUUUCACACUGUCAAGAAAAGUCUCUAUCGAGGUUAAAGGUACCCGUACCGCAAACCGACACAGGUGGGUGAGGAGAGUAUCCUAAGGCCAGCGAGAGAACUGUUGUUAAGGAACUCGGCAAAAUGACCCCGUAACUUAGGGAUAAGGGGUGCCACCAUCAGGUGGCCGCAGAGAAUAGGCCCAAGCGACUGUUUACCAAAAACAUAGGUUUCUGCUAAGUCGCAAGACGAUGUAUAGGAGCUGACGCCUGCCCGGUGCUGGAAGGUUAAGGGGAUCUGUUAGAGCAAUCGAAGCAGUGAACUUAAGCCCCAGUAAACGGCGGCCGUAACUAUAACGGUCCUAAGGUAGCGAAAUUCCUUGUCGGGUAAGUUCCGACCCGCACGAAAGGCGUAACGAUUUGGGCACUGUCUCAACAACAGACUCGGUGAAAUUGUAAUUCCGGUGAAGAUGCCGGAUACCUGCGACAGGACGGAAAGACCCCAUGGAGCUUUACUGUAGCUUGACAUUGGGUCUUGGUACUACAUGUACAGGAUAGGUGGGAGGCUUUGAAACCAGGACGCCAGUUUUGGCGGAGCCAUCCUUGGGAUACCACCCUUGUA
This 1826-nucleotide ribosomal RNA is filed under the name Clostridioides difficile. RNAcentral's name for it is "partial 23S ribosomal RNA". It matches the Rfam family "Bacterial large subunit ribosomal RNA", at positions 363 to 2210 of the family's 2925-position model. The record is from RNAcentral. Lineage: Bacteria; Bacillati; Bacillota; Clostridia; Peptostreptococcales; Peptostreptococcaceae.